Molecule: ribosomal RNA, 253 nt
Filed under: uncultured bacterium
Lineage: Bacteria
Description: partial 16S ribosomal RNA
Rfam family: Bacterial small subunit ribosomal RNA
Source: RNAcentral
UACGAAGGGGGCUAGCGUUGCUCGGAAUCACUGGGCGUAAAGCGCACGUAGGCGGAUCUUUAAGUCAGAGGUGAAAUCCCAAGGCUCAACCUUGGAACUGCCUUUGAUACUGGGGAUCUCGAGUCCGGAAGAGGUUGGUGGAACUGCGAGUGUAGAGGUGAAAUUCGUAGAUAUUCGCAAGAACACCAGUGGCGAAGGCGGCCAACUGGUCCGGUACUGACGCUGAGGUGCGAAAGCGUGGGGAGCGAACAGG